UUUGGCUCUGUCUAGUGGAGUUUACUAGCAAAUGCCAAUGCACGCUGAAAUGAAACAGACAAAGGAAUCUGGUUGCUAAGUAUUUGUACUGAGUGACGGAUAUCAGCUGAUUGUACACCCAGCUACUGGGGACAGCAAGUUUCAGAUGUUUAAAUGUCAUCGAAUUUGUAGGAACUGCACACCAGGUCUUUCAUUUAAGUCUUUCUAAUUGUGGGGAAAUACAGUAUUGUUUUAUGGCUGGUACUGAUGGUUUGAAAGCUCCGUACAGCAUUAGUGAGCAGUGAUCACCAUCCUUCCUGAUUCUCAAUGUUGCUCUUAGCAGUAACUACCAUGGCACUAAAAGGAUUAGCACCAGCCAGAGCUCAGGGCUCCAGGCCCUGCUGGUAUUAAACUUUUCAAUGGCAUCGUGCCAGCAUCAGCAACCAAAACCAGGAUGGAUGCCAAUCAAGACUGACUGCAAUGCCAACCAACCAAAGACAAAUCCACUGGAUGCCUCAAACAAACAGUCUUUUUCUGGCUAAGAGAUCUGAAAUUGUCAGUCUCCAGCAGGCUGCUAUUGACAGCCAUGGGACAGAAAUAUUUCCUCUUGAGAAAUAGCCUUUAAAUCAUUUCUUAACAUGCUUUCUGGGAAGAUGCAUUUUAAAAAUAAAAUUCCUGCCCCCACCAUCAUUUUCUUUUUAAAGUAGAUAGGGCAUUUUCUGCAUGUUUUAUAUCACUUAUUCUUUAACUACAAGAGCAAAUGAUUAAGCUUUCAUCACACAUUCAAUCUUUUCUUGCUAACUACAAAUGGGAAUUUCUCUUCUUCCCUCUGAAAAUUCCUCUCAAUUUCUGCUCUCUGUUCCUAUGAUGAGAUGGGGGUCUCAUGGUUCAGCACAGAUAUCAAGUUGGCAGUUCUUCACGUCAGGCUAGAAAUGAGCACUGGAAUCAGUUUAUCUGACUGCUAAAGAUCUAGCCCCAUCUGAUCACUACUCAUACAAUAUGCUACACUGUUCUCUGGCUAGCACUGAAGAACAAGCCUUUCUUUCUUAGCUCAGAUCCUUCACUUGCAGUCUCUUUUCACAUCCCCACUUAUGACGCAACUAACUCAGAAUAGACUUGGAUCAAAAGUGAAACAUUCGUGAUAUGCAUAAUUCAGUGCCAGAACACGCACUGCAUUUAUCCACUGAAUGAUAGAGCUGGCCCUUUAAGAUUCCACUGGUAAUUAGGUAAUGGGUGUGAUGCAAUGUGCAAAUACACACUUCUUGCAAUUGACACUUGUGAGUGAUUUAGAAUUUGACAAUCCUGUCACAAUACUGAUUUCAAUACAGAAAUAAAUUGUGCUUCUUUAUUAAGUAACAUUGUAAAUGAUGUGCAAUUUACAUAAAUUUUGCUUUAGUGCACAAGGCACUGUGUUGUUUGCUCUAUCAUGGCAGAUUAUUAAAAGAGACGCAGAACCAUGGCAAAGGAUUGGUAUAACAUAAAAGGCCAGGAACGCCUGGAUUUAAAAUCGUAAUAUUCAAUCAGACUGGGAAUAUUUAUUGAGAGAAAACAGAGCUAACGUUUCAAGUCCAGUGAUCCUACUUGAGAAGAUCUUUCUGAAGAAGGUUCACUGGACUUGAAACAUUAGACACUGUUUUCACCCGACUGAUGCUGCUAACUUUCUCCAGCAAUUUCUAUUUUUAUGUUUCAGAUCUUUAGCAUCCAUUGUUCUUUGUUUAGUUUAUAAUGUUAAUAUUUAUUUUUAGUUUGUGAAUAGAGUAUGGUGACCGUUAUACUUUUAACCAUUAUUAUUCUUACUUGACGAGCACAGAUUAAGUUAGAGAAUCUAAAGCAAAACUGAACAUACAUUGAUUAGUUAUAUUGAGUUACCUUCCUGAAUACAAAACAUUUUUGUAUCAAAUUUGAUAUUGCAUUUGUAUUUCUAAAUAUGCUGCAAUAAAUCUUUCAAUGGUGUGCGAAUGCAAAAAAAAACAGUUUCUAAUUUGAUACCCAUUAUACAUGCUGUCUAAUAAUUAUUUCCAUUGGUUCAAUAGGACUGAAUAUCAUGGGGCUUAUUGCAGGAAGCCAAUGCAAUGACAUUCAUUUUGUACCAAGAUGCAAGAUGAAUUUCUGCCAUACUACCUUUUAAUUUAAAACAAAAAUGAUGUGUUGUAAAAUAAUGACAUUAAAAAUUUCUACUGUAGAUAAGAAACUGUGCUUUGAAUAUUUAUCAUGCAAUACAAAU
This is a non-coding RNA of Chiloscyllium plagiosum (whitespotted bambooshark), 2203 nucleotides long. NCBI's taxonomy places the organism in Eukaryota, Metazoa, Chordata, Chondrichthyes, Orectolobiformes, Hemiscylliidae. The record is from RefSeq and is a predicted model, not a curated record.